Molecule: unclassified non-coding RNA, 237 nt
Filed under: Paraglomus occultum
Lineage: Eukaryota; Fungi; Glomeromycota; Glomeromycetes; Paraglomerales; Paraglomeraceae
Description: partial contains 5.8S ribosomal RNA and internal transcribed spacer 2
Rfam family: 5.8S ribosomal RNA (bases 1-65)
Source: RNAcentral
GUGAAUCAUCAAAUUUUUGAACGCAAAUUGCGCCUUUUUCGAAAGGCAUGUCUGUUUGAGGGUACCAUUUAACAAAUAAUGUGAAGCGGAUUUUGUUGAACACGUUGCUGAGCUUUCCAAGAAUUUUAAAUUUUUGGUGGCGCAUAAUGACCAGCGUGAAGCUUUUUUUUUUAGUUCGAGUGUAGUAAACUAUUUGCUUGGGUUGUGCAAAGCGUAAUCGAGCAAUGGGAGUGGCAA